GCUACAGUGUGCAUCGAUCUUGCAUCUACGUGAACGAAGCAGCUCAUGUCACAAACCGCAGCUUCAGCAGCGUCUCUCUCUCUCUCUCUCUCUCUCUCUCUCUCUCUAGCACACACAGACACACUGUGUCUAUAUAUGUCGCUCUCUCCCUCCGUCUCUGGAUUGUGGGGUCAGGAGGAGUGUUUCCCCUCUCCCUCUCUGUGUCUGUGCUUGGGCAAUUAGCAUGAGAAGGGAGGGCACAAGGCUCUACUUUCUUGUACCAGUCUGAAUGAUGCACAUGGGGAGGUGAGAAAGGUACAGGUAGUAGUAGAGGAGGAGGAGGAGUAAAAAAAAAAAAGAAGAGAAGGGAGAGGGGCAUGGCAUGGUCCAUGGUAGGGAUCAGAGACAUGUCCAGAGGGACCGAGCCCACGUUGCAUGCACCCUGCUUCCCAUUUUGCACCGCUUUUAUCUCCUCUUUUCAUUUUUACCGCUUGUAUUGACUU
This 482-nucleotide long non-coding RNA is filed under the name Sorghum bicolor (sorghum). RNAcentral describes it as "long non-coding RNA (SBIC_LNC000376)". The record is from RNAcentral. Lineage: Eukaryota; Viridiplantae; Streptophyta; Magnoliopsida; Poales; Poaceae.